ACCAUUUGACCCUCAGCAUGGCCUGGGCCCUGUAUCUCCUCACAGUUAUCAGUUACUACUCAGGUGUCAGGUCACAGCCUUGGACUCAGCCUGCGUCAGUAUCUGUGUCCCUGGGAGGGACAGCAAAACUAUCCUGCACAACAGACAGUGAAAAUUACAGCAUUUAUUGGUAUCAACAGAAAGCUGGCCAGGUCCCCCGCUAUGUCCACUAUGCAGGAGGCAGCAGGGGAGAAGGGAUCCCGGAUCGGUUCACUGCUUCUGUCUCUGGGAUCACUGGCUAUUUAACCAUCGCUAAUGUCCAGACUGAUGAUGAGGCAGAUUUCUACUGUGUUAAAUGGUACAAGAGUGGUAACCAGUUCCACAGUGAUAAAAGCUAAUGAGGAACUGAGACAAAAACCUUCACUCUUUCUCCCUAGAGUGAAGGAUUUAGAAGCAUUUCAAGUUUAAUUUGAUCAGUGCUUGUCGUGAGAACCGUG
Molecule: non-coding RNA, 476 nt
Organism: Heteronotia binoei (common prickly gecko)
Lineage: Eukaryota; Metazoa; Chordata; Lepidosauria; Squamata; Gekkonidae
Source: the annotation of a RefSeq genome assembly